GAUGAACGCUGGCGGCGUGCCUAAUACAUGCAAGUCGAGCGAAUGGAUUAAGAGCUUGCUCUUAUGAAGUUAGCGGCGGACGGGUGAGUAACACGUGGGUAACCUGCCCAUAAGACUGGGAUAACUCCGGGAAACCGGGGCUCAUACCGGAUAAUAUUUUGAAGUGCAUGGUUCAAAAUUGCAAGGCGGCUUCGGCUGGCACUUAUGGAUGGACCCGCGUCGCAUUAGCUAGUUGGUGAGGUAACGGCUCACCAGGGCAACGAUGCGUAGCCGACCUGAGAGGGUGAUAGGCCACACUGGGACUGAGACACGGCCAAGACUCCUACGGGAGGCAGCAGUAGGGAAUCUUCCGCAAUGGACGAAAGUCUGACGGAGCAACGCCGCGUGAGUGAUGUAGGCUUUCGGGUCGUAAAACUCUGUUGUUAGGGAAGAACAAGUGCUAGUUGAAUAAGCUGGCACCUUGACGGUACCUAACCAGAAAGCCACGGCUAACUACGUGCCAGCCGCCGCAGUAA
Molecule: ribosomal RNA, 515 nt
Filed under: uncultured bacterium
Lineage: Bacteria
Description: partial 16S ribosomal RNA
Rfam family: Bacterial small subunit ribosomal RNA
Source: RNAcentral